AGUAACGCGUGGAUAACCUGCCUUACACUGGGGGAUAACACUUAGAAAUAGGUGCUAAUACCGCAUAAGCGCACAGAGCCGCAUGGCUCAGUGUGAAAAACUUCGGUGGUGUAAGAUGGAUCCGCGUCUGAUUAGGCUGGUUGGCGGGGUAGAAGCCCACCAAGGCGACGAUCAGUAGCCGGCCUGAGAGGGUGAACGGCCACAUUGGGACUGAGACACGGCCCAAACUCCUACGGGAGGCAGCAG
This 246-nucleotide ribosomal RNA is filed under the name uncultured bacterium. RNAcentral's name for it is "partial 16S ribosomal RNA". It matches the Rfam family "Bacterial small subunit ribosomal RNA", at positions 109 to 354 of the family's 1533-position model. The record is from RNAcentral.